This 447-nucleotide ribosomal RNA is filed under the name uncultured bacterium. RNAcentral's name for it is "bacterial SSU rRNA". It matches the Rfam family "Bacterial small subunit ribosomal RNA", at positions 355 to 825 of the family's 1533-position model. The record is from RNAcentral.
UGGGGAAUAUUGGACAAUGGGCGCAAGCCUGAUCCAGCCAUGCCGCGUGAGUGAAGAAGGCCUUCGGGUUGUAAAGCUCUUUUACCAGGGACGAUAAUGACGGUACCUGGAGAAUAAGCCCCGGCAAACUUCGUGCCAGCAGCCGCGGUAAUACGAAGGGGGCUAGCGUUGUUCGGAAUUACUGGGCGUAAAGCGUACGUAGGCGGUGACUCAAGUCAGAGGUGAAAGCCUGGAGCUCAACUCCAGAACUGCCUUUGAAACUAGGUCGCUAGAAUCACGGAGAGGUGAGUGGAAUUCCGAGUGUAGAGGUGAAAUUCGUAGAUAUUCGGAAGAACACCAGUGGCGAAGGCGGCUCACUGGACGUGUAUUGACGCUGAGGUACGAAAGCGUGGGGAGCAAACAGGAUUAGAUACCCCGGUAGUCCCUGAGCGGGCUGGCAAGGCGCAU